Molecule: ribosomal RNA, 391 nt
Filed under: Pleuronema coronatum
Lineage: Eukaryota; Ciliophora; Oligohymenophorea; Pleuronematida; Pleuronematidae
Description: partial small subunit ribosomal RNA
Rfam family: Eukaryotic small subunit ribosomal RNA
Source: RNAcentral
GCUUGUCUCAAAGAUUAAGCCAUGCAUGUCUAAGUAUAAGUAUUAUACAGCGAAACUGCGAAUGGCUCAUUAAAACAGUUAUAGUUUACAUGAUAAUCGAAUUUACAUGGAUAACCGUGGUAAUUCUAGAGCUAAUACAUGCUGGCGUGCCCGACUUUUGUGGAAGGGCGGUAUUUAUUAGACUUAAGCCAAUAUUCCUUGUGUCUAUUGCGAUGAUUCAUAAUAACUGAUCGAAUCUCAAAUUUGAGAUAAAUCAUUCAAGUUUCUGCCCUAUCAGCUUUCGAUGGUAGUGUAUUGGACUACCAUGGCAGUAACGGGUAACGAAGAAUUAGGGUUCGAUUUCGGAGAGGGAGCAUGAGAAACGGCUACCACAUCUAAGGAAGGCAGCAGG